AGAAAGAGGCUUCUCCAACCCGACCCGGCCCUUCCUUCCCCUUUGCCGCAGUGGUUGCCUCCUCCUCCCCUUCCUCCUCCUCUGGCUGCUUAGUCUCACACCCGCCGGGCCGUUGCUCCCGAGACGUUGUUGAGUUCCCUGUGUCCUCUUCUGGGUGGAGGAACUGCAAUGUCUGGUGAACAGAAACCAGAGAGGUACUAUGUGGGUGUGGACGUUGGAACAGGCAGUGUCCGUGCAGCUCUGGUGGACCAGAGUGGGGUCCUGUUGGCUUUUGCAGACCAGCCAAUUAAGAAGUGGGAGCCCCAGUUCAACCAUCAUGAGCAGUCCUCCGAGGACAUCUGGGCUGCAUGCUGUGUUGUCACAAAGGGGAUUCCCAUCGAAACGUCAUCAUGUGGCUGGAUCAUCGAGCAGUCAUUCAAGUCAACAGGAUCAAUGAGACCAAGCACAGUGUCCUCCAGUAUGUCGGCGGGGUGAUGUCUGUGGAAAUGCAGGCCCCGAAACUUCUGUGGCUGAAAGAGAACUUGAGAGAGACUUGCUGGGAUAAGGCGGGACAUUUCUUUGAUCUCCCAGACUUCUUAUCGUGGAAGGCAACAGGUGUCACAGCACGGUCUCUCUGCUCCCUGGUGUGUAAGUGGACAUAUUCAGCAGAGAAGGGCUGGGACGACAGUUUCUGGAAAAUGAUUGGUUUGGAAGACUUUGUUGCAGAUAAUUACAGCAAAAUAGGAAACCAAGUGCUACCUCCUGGAGCUUCUCUUGGAAAUGGGCUCACACCAGAGGCCGCAAGAGACCUUGGCCUUCUCCCUGGGAUUGCGGUCGCAGCUUCACUCAUUGAUGCCCAUGCAGGAGGACUAGGAGUGAUUGGGGCAGAUGUGAGAGGGCACGGCCUCGUCUGUGAGGGGCAGCCAGUGACGUCACGGCUGGCUGUCAUCUGUGGAACGUCUUCUUGUCACAUGGGGAUCAGCAAAGACCCGAUUUUUGUACCAGGCGUCUGGGGCCCUUAUUUCUCAGCCAUGUUACCUGGGUUCUGGCUGAAUGAAGGUGGUCAGAGCGUUACUGGAAAAUUGAUAGACCACAUGGUACAAGGCCAUGCUGCUUUUCCAGAACUACAAGUAAAGGCCACAGCCAGGUAACUGCUGUCUCUGUUCCCUCUAAAAUUUUCCUUGUGUGACUGUAUUGAGAGAAUUCACGUUGGGCAGUUGGGUGAUUUUCAGAUCCUACGGACAAUGAAAAUGCCUGUUAGUGCUUGAAAGAUAGUCAUCUGGAUGAUCCAGAAGAUACAUGUAUUAAUUCUUUAAAUGAUGUAAGAGAACUUAGAGAACCUAGAGAUACCCCAAGAAUAUACCCAGGGACUAUGGAUAAGAAACUCUGAUGUGGAAGAAGGACCAUGGAUUCUGAAGUCAUAGUUUCACGUGCUAGCCAUACUCCUUAAUAGAUACAGGACCUUGAGCUAGUUACUUAACCUCUUUAUGCCUGUCUCUUCAUCUGUAAAACUGAAGAUAAGAACGAUAUGGAGUGAUUUCUAGAAUAUUUUGAAGCAAGCUGAGUGCAAAAAAAUAUUUACGAUAUAAUCCCUUUCGUGUAAAAAGAAAGACUUAGGAAAAUACAUGUGUAUCUGUUCAUUUUUGCAAAAGAAAUACAGGAAGGUGGCCAGGCGCAGUGGCUCACUCCUGUAACCCCAGCACCUUGGGAGGCCGAGGCAGGCAGAUCACGAGGUCAGAGAUCGAGACCAGCCUGGCCAACAUGGUGAAACCCCAUCUGCAGAGAUCGUGCCACUGCACUCCAGCCUGGGCAAUAAAGUGAGACUCCGUCUC
This 1811-nucleotide small RNA is filed under the name Pongo abelii (Sumatran orangutan). RNAcentral's name for it is "retained intron". The record is from RNAcentral. Lineage: Eukaryota; Metazoa; Chordata; Mammalia; Primates; Hominidae.